RNAcentral lists this ribosomal RNA (255 nucleotides) under uncultured bacterium. Its description in RNAcentral is "partial 16S ribosomal RNA". It matches the Rfam family "Bacterial small subunit ribosomal RNA", at positions 524 to 777 of the family's 1533-position model. The record is from RNAcentral.
UACGUAGGGUGCGAGCGUUAAUCGGAAUUACUGGGCGUAAAGCGUGCGCAGGCGGUUUUGUAAGCCAGAUGUGAAAUCCCCGGGCUUAACCUGGGAAUGGCAUUUGGGACUGCAAGGCUGGAGUUUGGCAGAGGAGACUGGAAUUCCACGUGUAGCAGUGAAAUGCGUAGAGAUGUGGAGGAACACCGAUGGCGAAGGCAGCCCCCUGGGUCAAGAUUGACGCUCGAUGCACGAAAGCGUGGGGAGCAAACAGGG